UUCCGGUUGAUCCUGCCAGACCUGACUGCUAUCGGAUUGAUACUAAGCCAUGCGAGUCUUUGUAGUAAUACAAGGCAGACGGCUCAGUAACACGUAGUCAACCUACCCUAUGGACGAGAAUAAUCUCGGGAAACUGAGCAUAAUUCUUGAUAGAUCAUAAUGCCUGGAAUGGUUUAUGGUUAAAAUGAUUCGUCGCCAUAGGAUGGGACUGCGGCCUAUCAGCUUGUUGGUGAGGUAAUGGCCCACCAAGGCGAUUACAGGUACGGGCUCUGAGAGGAGAAGCCCGGAGAUGGGUACUGAGACACGGACCCAGGCCCUAUGGGGCGCAGCAGGCGAGAAAACUUUGCAAUGUGCGAAAGCACGACAAGGUUAAUCCGAGUGAUUUCUGCUAAAGAAAUCUUUUGCCAGUCGUAAAUCCGCUGGUGAAUAAGGGGUGGGCAAGUUCUGGUGCCAGCAGCCGCGGUAAU
This 467-nucleotide ribosomal RNA is filed under the name uncultured archaeon. Its description in RNAcentral is "bacterial SSU rRNA". It matches the Rfam family "Archaeal small subunit ribosomal RNA", at positions 1 to 474 of the family's 1478-position model. The record is from RNAcentral.